AGCUUGACUAUUUUAGUCAAAAUUUUCCAAUUAAUUUUCAAUUCAUCACCAUUCACUGUUUAGUAGAUAAAUCCCAUUCUGUUCACAAACUUUUUGUUUAACUUUGUGUAACACCUAACAGGUUAUUGCAUAUCUUCAAGUGGGUGUCUGUGAAUAUGUGGGUUUAUCCUUUGAUGUGCCCGGAAGAAAUGCACUUUUUUUUAGUCCCAGCUACAUGAAAUUUGUUUCAAUAAAACUAAGGCAAUGCUAGACUAAGUGACCCUGAGAAUCUGACUCCGCAUUAUGAGACCCUGAGCUGCAGUAAUAACCUUGAGACAGAGAAGAAAAUUCAGUUUCCUAGUAUGUUUCUAAAAGGCAGCUGUCAUCUAACCAAUAACAAUGUAAAACUAAUUCCCAGACAACUGUUUUACCAGAUAACAGUUGUGAUAUAAUUAUUUGCUCUGUCUCUGUUAGGGGCCAAUUAAUGACAUCAGCGGAAAAGCCAGUGAGAGAUGAUAAACACUAAAGGUCGCAGUCUGAAACUGCAUUAGUUAGGAUUUCAAGGAAACACAAGUAAAAAAAGACAGUAUUGCUUAUAAAAAUGUUGUUAAAUUCCUGUUGCUACAUUCAAAAAUGUAAAGCCUUUAAAGCAGAACUGUCACUGUCUAGAGACUGCAUAAUUUGCAAAAACCCACGACAGUGACAUUACAGCUGGGGUCCAGUGGCU
Pelobates cultripes (western spadefoot toad) is the source of this 706-nucleotide non-coding RNA. NCBI's taxonomy places the organism in Eukaryota, Metazoa, Chordata, Amphibia, Anura, Pelobatidae. The record is from the annotation of a GenBank genome assembly.